AAUCCAUGGUGAGGGCAAUCACGUUCAUACUUCUUAAAACGUUCCCAAGCUUCAUAGAAAGAUUCAGUUGGCUCUUGUUGAAAGGUUGAGAUCUUCGUUCUCAAAUU
Eutrema salsugineum is the source of this 107-nucleotide small nucleolar RNA. It matches the Rfam family "Plant small nucleolar RNA R71". From Rfam's summary of the family: R71 is a member of the C/D box family of snoRNAs containing the C (UGAUGA) and D (CUGA) box motifs. Multiple nearly identical copies of this snoRNA have been identified in Arabidopsis, and it is thought to function as a 2'-O-ribose methylation guide for 18S ribosomal RNA. NCBI's taxonomy places the organism in Eukaryota, Viridiplantae, Streptophyta, Magnoliopsida, Brassicales, Brassicaceae. The record is from Rfam.